This 440-nucleotide ribosomal RNA is filed under the name uncultured bacterium. RNAcentral's name for it is "partial 16S ribosomal RNA". It matches the Rfam family "Bacterial small subunit ribosomal RNA", at positions 338 to 795 of the family's 1533-position model. The record is from RNAcentral.
CCUACGGGAGGCAGCAGUGGGGAAUAUUGCACAAUGGGGGAAACCCUGAUGCAGCGACGCCGCGUGAGUGAAGAAGUACUUCGUUAUGUAAAGCUCUAUCAGCAGGGAAGAAAAUGACGGUACCUGAGUAAGAAGCCCCGGCUAACUACGUGCCAGCAGCGGCGGGAAUACGUAGGGGGCCAGCGGUAUCCGGAUUUACUGGGUGUAAAGGGAGCGGAGACGGCAGUGCAAGUCUGGAGUGAAAGGCGGGGGCUCAACCCUCGGACUGCUCUGGAAACUGUACGGCUGGAGUGCAGGAGAGGUAAGUGGAAUUCCUAGUGUAGCGGUGAAAUGCGUAGAUAUUAGGAGGAACACCAGUGGCGAAGGCGGCUUACUGGACUGUAACUGACGUUGAGGCUCGAAAGCGUGGGGAGCAAACAGGAUUAGAUACCCCAGUAGUC